This is a ribosomal RNA of 833 nucleotides. The stretch from base 274 to 427 matches the Rfam family "5.8S ribosomal RNA".
UUGAGACUGCGGAGGUCUUACCAUACAAGCCGGCCGGUUUGCUGUUGCAGCUCGUUCGAAAGAGCGGUUGCGCUGUCUUCCGGUUGGUGAGCCAGCACCCGCCUCCCCGCAAGGGGCAGGUUUGGGUACCUGGUAAACCCUUUGUGAACCAAAACAAACCUUUCGCUUCGGCAGCUGGGUCCCGCUCGGGACCCGUCAGCCUGCCGCUAGCACCAAACAAAAAACUUGUUGUCAAAACAUUGUCUGAUAACCAAAUUUUCGAAUGAAAAUCAAAACUUUCAACAACGGAUCUCUUGGUUCCCGCAUCGAUGAAGAACGCAGCGAAACGCGAUAGUUAAUGUGAAUUGCAGAAUUCAGUGAAUCAUCGAGUCUUUGAACGCACAUUGCGCCCAUUGGUAUUCCUUUGGGCAUGUCUGUUUGAGCGUCAUUACAACCCUCAGCUACCCGCUGGUUUUGAACCCGAACGGUACCCCCCUUUAACCGGGGGAACCGAGCCGGUUUUAAAGUUGUAAGCUCUGCUGGCCGCUCCGCCCAACCAGAACAUAGUAAAACUACUACUUUUGUUAGGGUCAAGUGGAACGGUUUUUCGGCCUGAACAAAACCUACCCAUUUCUCAAGGUUUGACCUCAGAUCAGACAAGGAUACCCGCUGAACUUAAGCAUACAAAGCUUCGGAGGAACGGACCCCCCCGGGUUUGCCUUUUUACCGUCUUUAUGUAUCAAACACAGCUCAAAUUUGAAAUCUGGAGUCUUUCGGCUUCCGAGUUGUAAUUUGAAGAGGAUGUUUCUGUGCGACCUGAGCCUUGUUACGACGUUUACAUCCAUACUUCCAGG